RNAcentral lists this ribosomal RNA (435 nucleotides) under uncultured bacterium. Its description in RNAcentral is "partial 16S ribosomal RNA". It matches the Rfam family "Bacterial small subunit ribosomal RNA", at positions 29 to 507 of the family's 1533-position model. The record is from RNAcentral.
AGCGAACGCUGGCGGCAGGCUUAACACAUGCAAGUCGAGCGGGCACUUUCGGGUGUCAGCGGCGGACGGGUGAGUAACGCGUGGGAACGUGCCCUCUGGUUCGGAAUAACUCAGGGAAACUUGAGCUAAUACCGGAUACGCCCUUUUGGGGAAAGGCUUGCUGCCGGAGGAUCGGCCCGCGUCUGAUUAGCUAGUUGGUGAGGUAACGGCUCACCGAGGCGACGAUCAGUAGCUGGUCUGAGAGGAUGAUCAGCCACACUGGGACUGAGACACGGCCCAGACUCCUACGGGAGGCAGCAGUGGGGAAUAUUGGACAAUGGGCGCAAGCCUGAUCCAGCCAUGCCGCGUGAGUGAUGAAGGCCUUAGGGUUGUAAAGCUCUUUUAUCCGGGACGAUAAUGACGGUACCGGAGGAAUAAGCCCCGGCUAACUUCGUG